This is a long non-coding RNA of Betta splendens (Siamese fighting fish), 1982 nucleotides long. RefSeq lists it as uncharacterized. The record is from RefSeq and is a predicted model, not a curated record. NCBI's taxonomy places the organism in Eukaryota, Metazoa, Chordata, Actinopteri, Anabantiformes, Osphronemidae. The transcript is spliced from 3 exons.
UACAGCCUUGCACAUGCUCAGAUAUACAGUGUUGACAGAUAUAUGGGAAACCAUGAAGUGACUGUUGAGUUAUAGUGAUGCCACAAGCUUAUAAACAAAGAAAAAAACUAACACUCGAUCCCAAUGUUGCUCUUUUCCCCCAUAAAUUCUGAGCAUAAUUGUGUGACAGGGUGGGUGCACUUGCUGCUAAUUCUGAUCUUCUCCAUUGUGUCAGCCCCAAUCUUUCCUGUCUGGGCCAUCUGCAUGGUUUCUUCAAUGAUUGUUUCCUGAUUUUCUAUAGCGAGGAAGUGUGAGGAAUUACCUCUUCAAAGGGAUGUGUGCCCCACCAGCACUAAUCCCCAGUUAAUGGCCAGUAGGAGCAAUAGACCCCAACAACCUCACAUCCUGCACAGGAUCCAUGUACAUAAUUCCUUCGCCAGGUUCGAAAACAGUAAGUGCCAAUUUGCGAAAAUACAAAACCAGCGGUGUUUGCAGAAAGGGAAUCUGCAUCCUUGAGGUGACAUUCCAUAAAGGUCUGGGUUAAGUGCAAUGGCCUAACGACGUUAGGUGGAAGAACGAAAGCUGCAAUCAUGAUCAUUAUAAACCACCACCUUUACUGUCAACAAAGCAAUUUAAAAAAGGCUCAAGUAGUAAUUAGUGAUAACGUUCCUUAUGGCAGGGUUAAGGCUGCUGAAAAACAGACACAGCUCUCCCUGGUGGCCUCGGGCUGAACCAACAGACCGUAAUUGGACUCUCAACCCUCCAAUUUACAGAAUUAGGGAAAGAAAUCAGUCUGUCUUAUUCUGGUGAUUUGUGCUUUGGACAAACACAUUUGACAAGUAAAGCUUAAAGACUGGCAAAAGCCGAGAUUCUGUAAAGUAGAUCAUGUUCAAAAGCACCGCAGUAAAAACCCACUUCCUAUUAAACCCAAGUAUCAGUACACUUCAGUACUUCAUAUUUAAAUAGUUACUCCUACACAAGCUCAAGUAAUUGGGAUUAAUUUAAUGAAACAUGGAUGUUGGUGCUGCACACAUGUAGCGCAGAUGCCACUGAGCCUUGGGGAAGUGCAAAUACGCCACGUUACUGUCACUGAUCUCUCUGGCUGCUUUGCAAUGAUUUAGCAUUUGCUCAAAUUAUUCAGACAUCACAGUUUCCGCCAUGUGACCUGUCAGUGCUCAUUACAGCCCGGGUGAGUCUGAAGAUGUCUGACACAGCGAGGCCAACGGCGGCAGUCGGACGGGUGGAAAACAUCAGCAUGUUUCAUUCAAAUUUAAGCAAAUUGAAGCUCCACGCUGCAGUUCAACAAGACGUUUGUUGUACAGGCCUUGUUUUCUGCUGCCGCACUUCGAAGCAGCUGCAAAAACACAACCAGUGUUGUAGUAUUAUACUAUGGAUUAUUUCCAGGUAACAAAACAUUAAUUUAUACAUAUCAAUGUAAAAUGCAUAAUAUAAAUCCUGCAUAUUAUAGGUACAGUUCUACUAGCUGUAGCUGUAAUCUCAUAAAAGUUUUUCCCUUUACUCAGAGUGAAGCCAAAGCACCCAGUGUCCGCCCUGCUGUCCCGAGCAUUUGUUCCUUCAGCGGGACUGCACACGUACGUAAAAGCAGCAUCACUGCAAACGAGUGCUGUAUGAGGCUGAGUGGUGUCUGUGAUCUCCUCUCUAAACCCUGGGGGGCAGCAGAAGACCUUCAUUUCUAAACGAGCGGAGCUGCUUAGGGCUGACUUAACACCGCUGUCAACUACCGCUGCGGCUCAUGGCAGGACACGAGUCAGGUUGCUAAUAAAACCUUGCAAAAUAAAUAAACAUUUGGUCUGAAGAACAAACGAAAGGAAUGUGUUUUGAGAUCUGACAGUUGUUUUUACAAAUGCACACAAUCUACUGUAACUAAAGAAAUGUGAAUUCAUAUUUAUAUAUUUAAUAAAUACAGACAGUUUUUACUCGACUGUAAGAUUAUUGUGUGAUUGUCAACAAUAUGGAUUUUUCUGUCAUUGCAUAAAACCAUA